AUUCACCCAUGGGUGAUUUGAAUUCACCCAUGGGUGAAUGACUCAGAUUUAUGGGUGAAUUCCUGUCACGUAUGAGCCACUUGAAUUCACCCAUGGGUGAAUUCAAAUCACCCUGGGGUGAAU
This 123-nucleotide microRNA precursor is filed under the name Melampsora larici-populina 98AG31. RNAcentral describes it as "microRNA MIR807". Lineage: Eukaryota; Fungi; Basidiomycota; Pucciniomycetes; Pucciniales; Melampsoraceae. The record is from RNAcentral.